GGGCGGUUAGCUCAGUUGGUUAGAGUACCACAUUGACAUUGUGGUGGUCAGAGGUUCGAGCCCUCUACCGCCCA
RNAcentral lists this transfer RNA (74 nucleotides) under Candidatus Omnitrophota bacterium. RNAcentral's name for it is "tRNA-Val". It matches the Rfam family "tRNA". Rfam says of the family: Transfer RNA (tRNA) molecules are approximately 80 nucleotides in length. Their secondary structure includes four short double-helical elements and three loops (D, anti-codon, and T loops). Further hydrogen bonds mediate the characteristic L-shaped molecular structure. tRNAs have two regions of fundamental functional importance: the anti-codon, which is responsible for specific mRNA codon recognition, and the 3' end, to which the tRNAs corresponding amino acid is attached (by aminoacyl-tRNA synthetases). tRNAs cope with the degeneracy of the genetic code in two manners: having more than one tRNA (with a specific anti-codon) for a particular amino acid; and 'wobble' base-pairing, i.e. permitting non-standard base-pairing at the 3rd anti-codon position. Lineage: Bacteria; Pseudomonadati; Candidatus Omnitrophota. The record is from RNAcentral.